UGCGCGGGCGCGCAGCCCCUGCGCGGGCCGGUCCCGAGUUCACUCCGCAGUUUGGCUCUGCUCGGAGUUUGGUCGGGCCGCGGAGGCGGGGGCCAGCCCUCCCCUCCCGCACAAAGGGGGUUGAAAGUCUAUUUUCCACUUGGCUGGAUCGAAAUGCUCCGCGCGGGAUCCUUCCCCCCGCGGAGAGCAGAGCGCUGCUGCGCGCCCGCGGGCGCUGCGCGGACUCGCUCCCGCAAGAGGCUGCGGGGAGAAGGAUGGGGGCAGGAAAAGCAAAAUUCCGCGAAAUCCCAGAGAACUGAAAACCUAAAAAUGGAGCGAGAGCGUCGGCAAAGCGGAAAAGUGGAAAUAAGGAAGAGGAGUUGGGCCUGUCCCAGCUCCAGGAGAGCUCAAGCAGGAUUUUUAUCCCUUCGGGAAUGAACCCGGAGCCGCCGAGCCGGGGUCUUGCUCGGGCUGGAGAUGCCCCUGGCUGGAGAGGAAAACUUUAUCCGCGGAAUGCCCGGAGAGGGGAACCGGGAUGGAUCCUCCCCGCGGGAUUCCGGCCGGGAACAGCUCCGGGAAGGGGAAAAAUCCAUUUUCCUUUCUAACGAAAGAGCCGCCGGCCGUGCGAGCGCAGCCGAGGGCCCUCAGGGGCCGGGCAGGAGCGGCUGCACCGCGAUCGGGGGCAAAGGGGGGUCUGGAAAACCCAACCGGGGCGUCCUGCAAGGAGCAAACGAGAGAGGAGGAAAAGGAGAGGGAAAGAGGGACAGGACAGACACCGAGCACCGGCGGCGGGAUGGGGGUAAAUGGUCAUUUACGGGGUGGCAGAGGGACAGCGGAGCCACUCUGUGUCCGUGUCCAUCCGCACCCCAGAAUCAGAGCCCGCAGGUGCUUUCCCCGAGCAGAGCGGUGUCCCCGGAGCCCGGCGGUGUCCCCGAGCCGGGCCGUGUCCCCGAGCGGAGCGAUGUCCCCAAUGCCGAGCGGUGUCCCCGGAGCCAGGCGAUGUCCCCGGAGCGGAGCGGUGUCCCCGGAGCCAG
This is a long non-coding RNA of Melospiza melodia melodia, 1013 nucleotides long. RefSeq lists it as uncharacterized. The transcript is spliced from 3 exons. The record is from RefSeq and is a predicted model, not a curated record. NCBI's taxonomy places the organism in Eukaryota, Metazoa, Chordata, Aves, Passeriformes, Passerellidae.